CUGUUCCCAUUUUUCCCUCUCCCCUCCACAAACAUAUCAGACAAAGCCUCAUUCCCAGUGUGUUGAGAGAUGUCACUUUGGAGAUCACAGGAUGGUUCGGGAGGGGGAACCCAUUUGCUGUUAUGACUGCACUCCAUGUCCAGAAGACAUGUUUUCUAAUGAGAUAGAUGCAGUCCAUUGUGUCAAGUCCCUGAAGAUCAAUAUCCAAAUGAAAACAAGGACCAAUGUAUCCCCAAGUUUAUAACUUUCCUAACCUAC
Rhineura floridana is the source of this 258-nucleotide long non-coding RNA. RefSeq lists it as uncharacterized. NCBI's taxonomy places the organism in Eukaryota, Metazoa, Chordata, Lepidosauria, Squamata, Rhineuridae. The transcript is spliced from 3 exons. The record is from RefSeq and is a predicted model, not a curated record.